AGCGCAGGCGGGAAGACAAGUUGGAAGUGAAAACCAUGGGCUCAACCCAUGAAUUGCUUUCAAAACUGUUUUUCUUGAGUAGUGCAGAGGUAGAUGGAAUUCCCGGUGUAGCGGUGGAAUGCGUAGAUAUCGGGAGGAACACCAGUGGCGAAGGCGGCCUACUGGGCACCAACUGACGCUGAGGCUCGAAAGUGUGGGUAGCAAACAG
Molecule: ribosomal RNA, 208 nt
Filed under: uncultured bacterium
Lineage: Bacteria
Description: partial 16S ribosomal RNA
Rfam family: Bacterial small subunit ribosomal RNA
Source: RNAcentral